RNAcentral lists this ribosomal RNA (168 nucleotides) under uncultured Acaulosporaceae. Its description in RNAcentral is "5.8S ribosomal RNA". It matches the Rfam family "5.8S ribosomal RNA". From Rfam's summary of the family: 5.8S ribosomal RNA (5.8S rRNA) is a component of the large subunit of the eukaryotic ribosome. Lineage: Eukaryota; Fungi; Glomeromycota; Glomeromycetes; Diversisporales; Acaulosporaceae. The record is from RNAcentral.
CCAACUUUCCAACAACGGUUCUCUUGGCUCCGUGCAUCGAUGAAGAACGCAGCNAAAUGCGUAAAAGUAAUGUGAAUUGCAGGAUUCCCGUGGAAUCAUUCAAAUCUUUGUAACGCAAAUUGCACUGCUUUGGUAUUNCCGAAGAGUAAUGCUUGCUUGAGGGUUGUU